Molecule: unclassified non-coding RNA, 250 nt
Filed under: plant metagenome
Description: partial contains small subunit ribosomal RNA, internal transcribed spacer 1, and 5.8S ribosomal RNA
Source: RNAcentral
GUAGGUGAACCUGCGGAAGGAUCAUUAUACAUUGUGGGACUGGCAGCGGUGUUGAAAGACGCUGUCUGCUAGUCUGUCUACACAUACCCUGCUUUGGCGUACUUAUUGUUUCCUCGGUGGGCUUGCCUGCCGACAGGACCUUUUCCAACUCUUUGUACUUGUAAUUGCGUCAAAAAAAUGUAAUCGUUACAACUUUCAACAACGGAUCUCUUGGUUCUGGCAUCGAUGAAGAACGCAGCAUCUGACUGAC